Molecule: ribosomal RNA, 538 nt
Filed under: Photobacterium sp. TKY4
Lineage: Bacteria; Pseudomonadati; Pseudomonadota; Gammaproteobacteria; Vibrionales; Vibrionaceae
Description: bacterial SSU rRNA
Rfam family: Bacterial small subunit ribosomal RNA
Source: RNAcentral
GAGUUUGAUCCUGGCUCAGAUUGAACGCUGGCGGCAGGCCUAACACAUGCAAGUCGAGCGGCAGCGACAACAUUGACCCUUCGGGGGAUUUGUUGGGCGGCGAGCGGCGGACGGGUGAGUAAUGCCUGGGAACAUGCCUUAGUGUGGGGGAUAACCAUUGGAAACGAUGGCUAAUACCGCAUAAUCUCUACGGAGCAAAGAGGGGGACCUUCGGGCCUCUCGCGCUAAGAUUGGCCCAGGUGGGAUUAGCUAGUAGGUGGGGUAACGGCUCACCUAGGCGACGAUCCCUAGCUGGUCUGAGAGGAUGAUCAGCCACACUGGAACUGAGACACGGUCCAGACUCCUACGGGAGGCAGCAGUGGGGAAUAUUGCACAAUGGGGGAAACCCUGAUGCAGCCAUGCCGCGUGUGUGAAGAAGGCCUUCGGGUUGUAAAGCACUUUCAGCAGUGAGGAAGGCGGUAUCGUUAAUAGCGGUAUUGUUUGACGUUAGCUGCAGAAGAAGCACCGGCUAACUCCGUGCCAGCAGCCGCGGUAAUAC